Molecule: non-coding RNA, 31 nt
Filed under: Mus musculus (house mouse)
Lineage: Eukaryota; Metazoa; Chordata; Mammalia; Rodentia; Muridae
Source: RNAcentral
UAUUAGCAGUAGAGCAAAUUUUGAGUCAACA